Molecule: long non-coding RNA, 1383 nt
Filed under: Oncorhynchus kisutch (coho salmon)
Lineage: Eukaryota; Metazoa; Chordata; Actinopteri; Salmoniformes; Salmonidae
Description: lncRNA (ENSOKIG00005011151.1)
Source: RNAcentral
AUGAGGCGAAUACAGACGAGUUGCCUGUCAUUUUACCUCCUCCCUGUAUGCAAUCAGCAACUAAACGACAGGUUUCAGAAACUCACUUUAUAUCUCAGAAUAUCACUCUAUUCUGCUGCAUCCUCCUCCUGUCCCACAUCCUGUAGCCUAUUUUACCUCCUGUCCCACAUCCUAUUUUACGUCCUGUCCCACAUCCUAUUGUACCUCCUGUCCCACAUCCUAUUGUACCUCCUGCCCCACAUCCUAUUGUACCUCCUGCCCCACAUCCUAUUGUACCUCCUGCCCCACAUCCUAUUGUACCUCCUGCCCCACAUCCUAUUGUACCUCCUGCCCCACAUCCUAUUGUACCUCCUGUCCCACAUCCUAUUGUACCUCCUGUCCCACAUCCUAUUGUACCUCCUGUCCCACAUCCUAUUGUACCUCCUGUCCCACAUCCUAUUGUACCUCCUGUCCCACAUCCUAUUGUACCUCCUGUCCCACAUCCUAUUGUACCUCCUGUCCCACAUCCUAUUGUACCUCCUGUCCCACAUCCUAUUGUACCUCCUGUCCCACAUCCUAUUGUACCUCCUGUCCCACAUCCUAUUGUACCUCCUGUCCCACAUCCUAUUGUACCUCCUGUCCCACAUCCUAUUGUACCUCCUGUCCCACAUCCUAUUGUACCUCCUGUCCCACAUCCUAUUGUACCUCCUGUCCCACAUCCUAUUGUACCUCCUGUCCCACAUCCUAUUGUACCUCCUGUCCCACAUCCUAUUGUACCUCCUGUCCCACAUCCUAUUGUACCUCCUGCCCCACAUCCUAUUGUACCUCCUGUCCCACAUCCUAUUGUACCUCCUGCCCCACAUCCUAUUGUACCUCCUGCCCCACAUCCUAUUGUACCUCCUGUCCCACAUCCUAUUGUACCUCCUGUCCCACAUCCUAUUGUACCUCCUGCCCCACAUCCUAUUGUACCUCCUGCCCCACAUCCUAUUGUACCUCCUGCCCCACAUCCUAUUGUACCUCCUGUCCCACAUCCUAUUGUACCUCCUGUCCCACAUCCUAUUGUACCUCCUGCCCCACAUCCUAUUGUACCUCCUGUCCCACAUCCUAUUGUACCUCCUGUCCCACAUCCUAUUGUACCUCCUGUCCCACAUCCUAUUGUACCUCCUGUCCCACAUCCUAUUGUACCUCCUGCCCCACAUCCUAUUGUACCUCCUGCCCCACAUCCUAUUGUACCUCCUGCCCCACAUCCUAUUGUACCUCCUGUCCCACAUCCUAUUGUACCUCCUGUCCCACAUCCUAUUGUACCCCGAAUCACGUGCAGCGGCUCAUUUCCAUGAAGCGAAAUAUGCUGUUUUGUUACAAAAUUAUAUUGACACAUUUGGCUUGAUGAAAAGGGGGCACUAG